RNAcentral lists this unclassified non-coding RNA (41 nucleotides) under Leishmania tarentolae. RNAcentral's name for it is "guide RNA". Lineage: Eukaryota; Euglenozoa; Kinetoplastea; Trypanosomatida; Trypanosomatidae. The record is from RNAcentral.
AACACACAAACAAAUAGAAAAAGGCAAAACUAUAAUUAACA